Molecule: long non-coding RNA, 342 nt
Filed under: Physcomitrium patens
Lineage: Eukaryota; Viridiplantae; Streptophyta; Bryopsida; Funariales; Funariaceae
Description: long non-coding RNA (PPAT_LNC000434)
Source: RNAcentral
UUAGGUUUUUGGUUAAGGUUUUGGUGUAAGUUUUGUGUCAUUUGGGGUUUUUAUGAAGAAGUUAUAGGCGCUCAAAGUUAAGGUGUUAGUUUUGGACCUACUGUCACUCUUUUGGACAUAACGCACGCAUACAAAUGGCAAUUGACGAUCGGCGACUGCGACUAGAGAGAGCACUUUUGCGGCUAUACUUUUCACAUACUAAUUACUGGAUUCUAAGUUGGGAUGAAGGAGUUAUUGGAUUUUGAAGUCAGCACAUGCAAUCUAAGGGUAGUAAGUAAACCGAUUUACUAGUGUUUGUCUCUUGAGCUAUAUCUUGAGCAAUUUGACAAGGUUUUGGCUCAA